Gasterosteus aculeatus aculeatus (three-spined stickleback) is the source of this 924-nucleotide long non-coding RNA. The record is from Ensembl. NCBI's taxonomy places the organism in Eukaryota, Metazoa, Chordata, Actinopteri, Perciformes, Gasterosteidae.
CAAUAAUGUGUGUUCAAUAUUUUCAAGAUUCUGUUUCUGUUUCCUGUUUCCUGAAAGGACACAUUUUGGGUUAAACAGCUAAUCUGUUGAGCAAAGAAUCCUCUUCUGCUGAGCGGUGCGCCUGCAAGUGUGCAUGCGUGAGAGUGAACGUACGCGGGCCUGCGUGACAUGAAGAUGACAUGAAGUUCCACAGCACGCAUGAAUCCAGCCUUUUCUUUCUCGGAAAAGAGAGCACAAAGCACGGACGUGGACGAGGCAGACUGAGAGACUUAGAAGUGGAAGAGCUUGUUUGACGAUCUCCCACGCUUUCUUCAACAACAACCUCCUUCAGUCAAAAGUCACCUCACCGGUCCCGUCCCCAAACCUCCACCUCUCCACGAGGCGCCCAUGUGACUUGGAAAUAAGGCGCACAUUGUUGGCCGCCUGGUCUGAAGUCGCGAAGGUUGAGCAAUUAUCAGCAAGUGGAAAAAAAGGCAGGCUCAAGUGGAGUCUAGCUGCAGCAUGCGGGUCUGCCGUGCCCUCUGCGCUUGUUUUCACUGUCAUCAUUGGGAACGACGUGAUAGCAUCAAACCCCGGCCUCAGCGAAUUCACUGAAAAACAUCACAACAUCGUCUCUAUGGAGACAAUCAGAGGAGACUGUAAUUGAAAAAGCAAAAAAAAAAAACACAGCAGCAGCAAUUGCCAUACGACAAAGUCUGUGAAAUAAUGUCCGGGGGUCAGACUCAUCCGUCAUCCAGGCAGAGCUGAGAAGACGUGAAACAACAAUGCCAACAACGUCAUUUCACACCUCAACGUUUACACUGCCAGUUACGAACAUCCAACAGCAGGACAAUGAUCUUCAAACGCAUCACAACGCCGUCUCAUUAUUCAAGCUGCUCGUCUUUGUCAAGUCAGCAUCAAGUCAGAUCACCGUCAGCAGCUCAG